UAAGGAAGGAAGGGCGCACGGUGGAUGCCUUGGCACUAGGAGCCGAAGAAGGACGCGGCAAACGGCGAAACGCCUCGGGGAGCCGUAAGCAGGCGUAGAUCCGGGGAUUUCCGAAUGGGGGAACCCACCGUCCGUAAUGGGGCGGUAUCCAUGUCUGAAUCCAUAGGGCAUGGAGGGCAACCCGGGGAACUGAAACAUCUUAGUACCCGGAGGAGAAGAAAGCAACAGCGAUUCCCUGAGUAGCGGCGAGCGAAAGGGGAACAGCCCAAACCAAAGGGCUUUGCCCUUUGGGGUUGUAGGACACUCCAGAAGGAGUUACAAAAGAGCGGGGUAGGCGAAGCGGCCUGGAACGGCCCGUCGGAGAAGGUAAGAACCCUGUAGCCGAAACCCCGUUCUCUCCGGAGUGGAUCCUGAGUACGGCGGGACACGAGGAAUCCCGUCGGAAGCGGGGAGGACCAUCUCCCAAGGCUAAAUACUCCCUAGUGACCGAUAGUGAACCAGUACCGUGAGGGAAAGGUGAAAAGCACCCCGGGAGGGGAGUGAAAGAGAACCUGAAACCGUGUGCCUACAAGUAGUCAGAGUCCGAUGCACGGCAACGUGCCGGAUGAUGGCGUGCCUUUUGUAGAAUGAACCGGCGAGUUGCGAUGGCGUGCGAGGUUAAGGGGAAGACCCGGAGCCGCAGCGAAAGCGAGUCUGAAGAGGGCGAAGAGUACGUCGUCGCAGACCCGAAACCAGGUGAUCUACCCGUGUCCAGGGUGUGAAGGCAGGGUAACACCUGCUGGAGGCCCGAACCCACGUACGUUGAAAAGUGCGGGGAUGAGGUGCGGGUAGGGGUGAAAUGCCAAUCGAACCUGGAGAUAGCUGGUUCUCUCCGAAAUAGCUUUAGGGCUAGCCUCAAGCGGGAGAGUCUUGGAGGUAGAGCACUGUUUGGAUGAGGGGCCCGCCAAGGGUUACCGAGUUCAGAUAAACUCCGAAUGCCAAGACUUGCGCUUGGGAGUCAGACUGCGAGUGAUAAGAUCCGCAGUCGAGAGGGGAACAGCCCAGACCGCCAGUUAAGGUCCCAAAGUAUACGUUAAGUGGGAAAGGAUGUGGAGCUGCCGAGACAACCAGGAUGUUGGCUUAGAAGCAGCCAUCAUUCAAAGAGUGCGUAAUAGCUCACUGGUCGAGUGGCUCUGCGCCGAAAAUGUACCGGGGCUGAAACGUAUCACCGAAACUGCGGAUGGGCACGGAAGUGUCCAUGGUAGGAGAGCGUUCUAAACGCGGGGAAGCAAGACCGGGAGGACUUGUGGAGCGUUUAGAAGUGAGAAUGCCGGUAUGAGUAGCGAAAGAAGGGUGAGAAUCCCUUCCACCGAAAGCCUAAGGUUUCCUGAGGAAGGCUCGUCCGCUCAGGGUUAGUCGGGGCCUAAGCCGAGGCCGAAAGGCGUAGGCGAAGGGGAACAGGUGGAUAUUCCUGUACCACCCGGGAUCCGGUAUGAGCGAAGGGGGGACGCAGGAGGAUAGGGCAAGCGCGCGACUGGAAGAGCGCGUCCAAGCAGCGAGGGUGGCGGAUAGGCAAAUCCGUCCGCCAUGGAGCCUGAGCUGUGAUGGGGAGGGAAUGGAAGUACCGAAGUGCCCGAUUUCACACUGCCGAGAAAAGCCUCUAGCCAGGAUCCGGGUGCCCGUACCGGAAACCGACACAGGUAGGCGAGGAGAGAAUCCUAAGGUGAGCGAGAGAACCCUCGUUAAGGAACUCGGCAAAAUGACCCCGUAACUUCGGGAGAAGGGGUGCUCUUUCGGGUGAAGAGCCUGAAGGAGCCGCAGAGGAUAGGCCCAGGCGACUGUUUAACAAAAACACAGGUCUCUGCGAAGCCGAAAGGCGAAGUAUAGGGGCUGACGCCUGCCCGGUGCUGGAAGGUUAAGGGGAGGGCUUAGCGGCGACGCGAAGGUCCGAACCGAAGCCCCAGUAAACGGCGGCCGUAACUAUAACGGUCCUAAGGUAGCGAAAUUCCUUGUCGGGUAAGUUCCGACCCGCACGAAAGGCGUAACGAUCUGGGCGCUGUCUCAACGAGGGACUCGGUGAAAUUAUAGUACCUGUGAAGAUGCAGGUUACCCGCGACAGGACGGAAAGACCCCGUGGAGCUUUACUGCAGCCUGAUAUGGGACUUUGGUAUCGCUUGUACAGGAUAGGCAGGAGCCAGGGAAGCGUGGGCGCCAGCCUACGUGGAGGCGCAAGUGGGAUACUGCCCUGGCGGUAUUGAAGUUCUAACCCGCGCCCCUGAUCGGGGUGGGGGACAGUGUCAGGCGGGCAGUUUGACUGGGGCGGUCGCCUCCUAAAGGGUAACGGAGGCGCCCAAAGGUUCCCUCAGCGCGGUUGGAAAUCGCGCGGAGAGUGCAAAGGCAGAAGGGAGCUUGACUGCGAGACCGACAAGUCGAGCAGGGACGAAAGUCGGGCUUAGUGAUCCGGUGGUACCGGAUGGAAGGGCCAUCGCUCAACGGAUAAAAGCUACCCCGGGGAUAACAGGCUGAUCUCCCCCAAGAGUCCACAUCGACGGGGAGGUUUGGCACCUCGAUGUCGGCUCGUCGCAUCCUGGGGCUGAAGUCGGUCCCAAGGGUUGGGCUGUUCGCCCAUUAAAGCGGCACGCGAGCUGGGUUCAGAACGUCGUGAGACAGUUCGGUCCCUAUCCGUCGCGGGCGCAGGAAAUCUGAGAGGGGCUGUCCUUAGUACGAGAGGACCGGGAUGGACGCACCGCUGGUGUACCAGUUGUCCCGCCAGGGGCACCGCUGGGUAGCCAAGUGCGGAAGGGAUAAGCGCUGAAAGCAUCUAAGCGCGAAGCCCGCCUCAAGAUGAGAUUUCCCAUCCUUUCGGGGCGACCCGAAAGGAGUAAGAUCCCUUGAAGAAGACGAGGUAGAUAGGUCCGGGGUGGAAGCACGGCGACGUGUGGAGCUGACGGAUCCUAAUCGAUCGAGGACUUAACCG
This 2956-nucleotide ribosomal RNA is filed under the name Caldibacillus debilis GB1. Its description in RNAcentral is "23S ribosomal RNA". It matches the Rfam family "Bacterial large subunit ribosomal RNA". The record is from RNAcentral. Lineage: Bacteria; Bacillati; Bacillota; Bacilli; Caryophanales; Bacillaceae.